Molecule: small nuclear RNA, 121 nt
Organism: Tupaia belangeri (northern tree shrew)
Lineage: Eukaryota; Metazoa; Chordata; Mammalia; Scandentia; Tupaiidae
Gene: U4
Rfam family: U4 spliceosomal RNA
About the family: U4 small nuclear RNA (U4 snRNA) is a component of the major U2-dependent spliceosome. The structure of U4 snRNA from yeast and human has been reported.
Source: Ensembl
AGCUUUGCGCAGUGGCAGUAUCGUAGCCAAUGAGGUUUAUCCGAGGCGCGAUUAUUGCUAAUUGAAAUAUCCACUUUGUAGGACAAAUAAUAAUGUGAUUGAAUGUAUAUAAGAAAAUGAA